Molecule: ribosomal RNA, 253 nt
Filed under: uncultured bacterium
Lineage: Bacteria
Description: partial 16S ribosomal RNA
Rfam family: Bacterial small subunit ribosomal RNA
Source: RNAcentral
UACGAAGGGGGCUAGCGUUGUUCGGAAUUACUGGGCGUAAAGCGCGUGUAGGCGGGUCUUUAAGUCAGGGGUGAAAUGCCAAGGCUCAACCUUGGAACUGCCUUUGAUACUGGAGAUCUUGAGUCCGGGAGAGGUGAGUGGAACUGCGAGUGUAGAGGUGAAAUUCGUAGAUAUUCGGAAGAACACCAGUGGCGAAGGCGGCUCACUGGCCCGGUACUGACGCUGAGACGCGAAAGCGUGGGGAGCGAACAGG